UGAGCUUUAAGUUAAAUAAAACUAUUAUCCUUCAAAGAUAAAAUUGGUGAAAUAUCAAGCUUUA
Molecule: transfer RNA, 64 nt
Filed under: Liposcelis decolor
Lineage: Eukaryota; Metazoa; Arthropoda; Insecta; Psocodea; Liposcelididae
Description: tRNA-Trp
Source: RNAcentral